AAGGCCUUAGCUUAAUUAAAGUGUUUGAGUUGCAUUCAGAAGAUGUGUUUAGAGUUGCACAGGUCUUA
RNAcentral lists this transfer RNA (68 nucleotides) under Callopistes maculatus. RNAcentral describes it as "tRNA-Ala". The record is from RNAcentral. Lineage: Eukaryota; Metazoa; Chordata; Lepidosauria; Squamata; Teiidae.